This 468-nucleotide ribosomal RNA is filed under the name uncultured bacterium. RNAcentral describes it as "partial 16S ribosomal RNA". It matches the Rfam family "Bacterial small subunit ribosomal RNA", at positions 28 to 507 of the family's 1533-position model. The record is from RNAcentral.
GACGAACGCUGGCGGCGUGCUUAACACAUGCAAGUCGAACGGAAAGGCCCUGCUUUUGUGGGGUGCUCGAGUGGCGAACGGGUGAGUAACACGUGAGUAACCUGCCCUUGACUUUGGGAUAACUUCAGGAAACUGGGGCUAAUACCGGAUAUGAGCUCCUGCUGCAUGGUGGGGGUUGGAAAGUUUCGGCGGUUGGGGAUGGACUCGCGGCUUAUCAGCUUGUUUGUGGGGUAGUGGCUUACCAAGGCUUUGACGGGUAGCCGGCCUGAGGGGGUGACCGGCCACAUUGGGACUGAGAUACGGCCCAGACUCCUACGGGAGGCAGCAGUGGGGAAUAUUGCACAAUGGGCGGAAGCCUGAUGCAGCAACGCCGCGUGCGGGAUGACGGCCUUCGAGUUGUAAACCGCUUUCGCCUGUGACGAAGCGUGAGUGACGGUAAUGGGUAAAGAAGCACCGGCUAACUACGUG